UGGGGAAUAUUGCACAAUGGGGGAAACCCUGAUGCAGCGACGCCGCGUGAGCGAUGAAGUAUUUCGGUAUGUAAAGCUCUAUCAGCAGGGAAGAAAAUGACGGUACCUGACUAAGAAGCCCCGGCUAACUACGUGCCAGCAGCCGCGGUAAUACGUAGGGGCAAGCGUUAUGCCGGAUUUACUGGGUGUAAAGGGAGCGUAGACGGCGAUGCAAGCCAGAUGUGAAAGCCCCGGGGCUCAACCCCGGGACGUGCAUUUGGAAUGCUGUAAUGCUGGAGUGUCGGAGAGGCAGGCGGAAUUCCUAGUGUAGCGGUGAAAUGCGUAGAUAUUAGGAGGAACACCAGUGGCGAAGGCGGCCUGCUGGACGAUGACUGACGUUGAGGCUCGAAAGCGUGGGGAGCAAACAGGAUUAGAUACCC
Molecule: ribosomal RNA, 419 nt
Filed under: uncultured bacterium
Lineage: Bacteria
Description: bacterial SSU rRNA
Rfam family: Bacterial small subunit ribosomal RNA
Source: RNAcentral